AUUGAACGCUGGCGGCAGGCCUAACACAUGCAAGUCGAGCGGCAGCGGGAAAGUAGCUUGCUACUUUUGCCGGCGAGCGGCGGACGGGGGAGUAAUGCCUGGGGAUCUGCCCAGUCGAGGGGGCUAACUACUGGAAACGGUAGCUAAUACCGCAUACGCACUACGGGGGAAAGCAGGGGACCUUUGGGCCUUGCGCGAUUGGAUGAACCGGGGUGGGAUUAGCUAGUUGGUGAGGUAAUGGCUCACCAAGGCGACGAUCCCUAGCUGGUCUGAGAGGAUGAUCAGCCACACUGGAACUGAGACACGGUCCAGACUCCUACGGGAGGCAGCAGUGGGGAAUAUUGCACAAUGGGGGAAACCCUGAUGCAGCCAUGCCGCGUGUGUGAAGAAGGCCUUCGGGUUGUAAAGCACUUCCAGCGAGGAGGAAAGGUCAGUAGCUAAUAUCUGCUGGCUGUGACGUUACUCGCAGAAGAAGCACCGGCUAACUCCGUGCCAGCAGCCGCCGUAA
RNAcentral lists this ribosomal RNA (508 nucleotides) under uncultured bacterium. Its description in RNAcentral is "partial 16S ribosomal RNA". It matches the Rfam family "Bacterial small subunit ribosomal RNA", at positions 29 to 523 of the family's 1533-position model. The record is from RNAcentral.